GUGGCUUAAACAACAGCAUUUUUUUCUCACAAUUCUGGAGACUGAAAGUCCACAAUCAAGGUGCCGGCUGAUUUGGUUCCUGGAGAUAGCUCUCUUCAGAUUGCAGAUGCCCACCUUCUCCCUGUGUACUCAUACUCGGUGGAGCGAAGGACAAAGAUAUCUCUCUCUUCUUUUUCUUAUAAGGAAGAGGUUAUAAUUUAACCUCAGUUACCUUAAAAAUCCUGUCUCCAUAUACAGUUGCAUCGAGUGUUGGAGGUCACCGUAUGACUCUGUGGGGUGGGGAAGAGGAGCCAAUUCAACUCAUAGCCAUUUGAAACUCAACAGAUUGUCACUGGAUGACAUCUAAAUGCCUAACACUGAUGUGGAUGCUACAAGAGUCUGUCACUUACAAGCUCUUUGCCCUUAGGGGUCACACUGUUCCAGGGCACAUUAGUGACCACGUUGGUCCAGAAAGAAGCAGCUCUGUCUCUACCUACAUCCAUCAGGACACGUAACUCUGACUUCACCCUUUAUCAUAACCCUAUGCACUCUACUCGCUACCAUCCCAUCCAAUCCUAAGAAAGCCCUUCAAUUCAAAAUUACUGUUAAA
Long non-coding RNA from Phyllostomus hastatus (greater spear-nosed bat), 589 nucleotides. RefSeq lists it as uncharacterized. The transcript has 3 exons. Lineage: Eukaryota; Metazoa; Chordata; Mammalia; Chiroptera; Phyllostomidae. The record is from RefSeq and is a predicted model, not a curated record.